This 5277-nucleotide long non-coding RNA is filed under the name Gossypium raimondii (Peruvian cotton). RNAcentral's name for it is "long non-coding RNA (GRAI_LNC006856)". Lineage: Eukaryota; Viridiplantae; Streptophyta; Magnoliopsida; Malvales; Malvaceae. The record is from RNAcentral.
UCCAUGUUCUAAAAUGGAUGACUGUGACAUCUUAUCUACUCCAUCUAUUAUAAGGACAUAAGCAAAGUGGUAACCACCAUUGAAUAUUAAAAACAGCAAAAUUGAAGUAGCAGCAAAAAUACUAACUAUUGUUUCUCAGGGUUGUCAGGUUCUUCUUCCUUUUCAGGAUCUUCCUCCUCUUCCUCUUUCUUUUCUUCCUCUUCUUCAUCUUCUUCAGGGGGAUCAUACGGCAUUGGUGGUGGUAAUGGUGUUUUCAUAGGGCUGAAUUGAGGGAAUAUGUCAGGUCUGCGUCCAGGUUUAGGCCUCUCCCACUCCUGCCAUGUGAACCAAGGUGCUCAUUUUUAAUCACACUGUCUUGAAGAAACAAAAUUCCAAACAAAAAAAACCAAGAUUGAAUUAUCUAAACAGUACCCAUCAACCAAACAAAACUACCCCAAUCGAAUAUUACUGCAUAAAAUUAAACCCAUCUCAUAAAAAUCCUGCUGAGGCUUAUUCUUCUUUCACAAAGCUAAAAACAAAUAUCAUAUCACUAAUUUGGAAUUUCCCUGUCCUGUUAACAAGGCAAUUAAAACUACUUAUAGCUGAAUAAACAGAGCAUGAACUUACAAUGGGAAAAUCGAGGGGAUUGCGACGAGUCAAUUUUUCUUCCUCGGGAGCCAUACAAACCACCUGCAGCCUCUUUCUCAUCGUCAGUUUAUGGGAUUUAGAAAAGGAGACAACGAGGGAGCAUCUGCAACGGCGUAUACUGGAAGUGGAUGAACCCGGCGCUAGGGUUUUGGAAGGCGGCAAUAACGAUAGGCAAAUGGAUGAUGCCAUGGUUGGUUUCUUGGUAGGAACAGUUUCCCCAGAAACAAACAAAAAUAAAAGAAGUACCAAGUUAACCGCCUUAUCUCCGAGUCGUGUUCGUCUCGGCUAGGACGGCCUGCACUCAGCCCCUAAAUACCCAAUGGCCACAAUUUUAACAUCUGUAGGCUCAGCAUCUCUAUCAACUUUUAUGGGUCUAUAUUAUCUAAUGGGUGGUCCAAUCCACUUGUUGAUUUAGUGCCAUUUUAGAUUCACCUUUCGUCCCAAAUGAAGCUUAAAUUGGACUCAGAGUUGACCCCAAAAAUUGGGCUCAGAAUGUUAGACUAGUUUUAACCAAAUUCAACUUUUAGUUUUUAGAGUGAUAGGUAUAUAUUAUUUAUUUAUUAGUUUUAAAUAUUAAUUAAAAGCAUAUGAUAGUUUCAUAACUUCCCAUACAGAAUUAAAAUAAUUCACUAAACUUCAUAAUAAGAGGAAAUGUAUGAAAAUGUCAACAUUGGCUAUUUUGAAUACAUCCACUUAUAGUUUUUUUUCUUUCAUAUUCAUUUUACUAUAUCUUAUAAUUAUUUUUUCCGAUUAUAUCGUCUUCAAAGUUUGAACUUGUAUUUUUCAUUGAGUAUGUAAUAUGUUUUAUCAUUAUACCUAACACUUAUUAAUACCACAAAUCAUGUUAUCUACCAUUUGCAAUAGGACAUGUUAUGCCCAUUAAAUUCCUAUAUGCCAUAAGAAAAGGGUUUAAAUCCCACCGAGUACAAAUUUUGAAUUUGUAUCAAGUGAAUGCGGUCUCACUCCAUGAACCUAAUGAAGCUAUGUGUGAAGGUGAAAAAUAGGAUUUAAUAAUAAAACUGAGUAUAGACACUUCAAACCUAAUUUUAGACCCAUUGAAGAGAUUUAUCGUCUUUUGACAAAUAACAAUUCAAAGACUUCUCCUAAUAAGUCAAAACACCCUUAAAAAAGAGUUAAAUUGAUGUCUGGUGAAUUUAUAAUGAAACAAAAAUGAAUUAUUAAAAUAAAUUGCAGUUUAAUCCCUAAUACAUACUUCAACUUUUAAUUUUUCUUUUAAAUGAAAAGUAGUUUAGGCAAGUUAUGAAACUUUGGGUUAUUUAUAACAGAUCUUAUUUAUCAAAGACAUUGAGUGUCAUUUAUUUGUUAGGGUUUGAUUGGUAUAACUCUAAAAAUAAAAAUAUAUUUUAAUAAAAACAAAAUAUUUUUAUAAUAAAAUAAAAUCUAUUUAAUCUUUAGAAAAUUCAAUAACAUUCAUUUGUUUCAUUCAUCAUUAACAUGAGCUCGAAACCUUUUACAUAAUUAAACUCCAAAUAAUAUAUUCCAUUAAGAAAAAAAAAUUAACCAUACAAUUGAACUCCACAUAAAAACAUGGCUGUAAUGAAAUUUCUUUAAGGUUUGAAAAAAAAAAAAGAGAAUAAUUUUCUUUUAAAGGUAAACGCCACCAUAUUAUAAUUCAAUUAACCCGUUGGAUUAGGGUUGUGUAAGAUUAAAAAGAAAAAAGAAAUGAUCAAUAAUAGCAGCAAACUUUAGUCAUAGCCAUGAUGAUUUGGUAAUAACUAAUAUCCCUAAACAGGAAUGGAAAUAAUAUAUCUGUUUGAAUAAAAAGAAAAAAAAACAACUACUAAAUUUCUAACUUCUUUUUGCAAUGUCAGAUGCAUUAUUGGAAUGCCAGAGAAGAAAAAGAAACAAAACCAUUAAGCUUUGUUUUCUGCUGUAAACAGCUUUUUCAAGAACACCACAACACAGUCAACAAACAAAUGAAUCCAAGAGAACCUUUGUGCUAAAAAAAAAAACCAAUGAGAAAGUAGGAAUUUUAGUUACCAAUGGUUGUUAGAAUUUUGAAAACAUUUGAGAAAACGGUACAAAAAGCUUAAAAUAAAGGUUCCCUGGCUAGUUUUGAGCUUUGACAGAAACCCUAAUCACCAUGAAGGAGAAGUGCAUGGAGAACUUGAUGAAGAUGAUGAAAGACCAUUAUUACACUAUUAGAAUCACUGCCCGAAGUGACUAAAGACCUAGCAUCUCUAAGAGAAACAGGACAAGCCUGAGCUGGGAGAUUCUUCAUUGGACUCGAAGAUGUCAUCCAAGGCUCAGCCUUCUCAUCAUCCCCUGAAGAACCGUUGUUUCCUAGACCUCUCAAACGGAGUACCUGGCAUGCUGCAGCCAACAUCAUUGCUGUAAAUAGGAUUCGAUAUGUAAGCAAAAUUAUCCACACCAUGACCAGGAAUAGUACCGUUAGCUUUUCUUUACAAUUAGUAGUAGUUCCAGUGCCAAUUCGUGUUGAGAUUUCUUGAACAGGGUUAGGGGAAGUCGCCAAGGACGUUGAUGGAGAUACCAGAGAUAAGAUACCAAAUUGAUGAGGGGGCUUGUGUUUGGUUCUUGGGCAAAGAUUUCAAAAACUUGAGGAUGUAAAGGGAGAACAGCAGGGAAAAGGAAGUUCCUUGGUGCAUGAAUAACUCCUUGUGCAUAGAAGCUACUAAGGGGACUGGUUGAUUGAGUUUGGUUAUCAAGAGGAGGAAAGGAAGAAGCAGUAUUUGUAGGGGUGAGGGCACCAGUUGCAGUGUUGGUAAUGAUAGGGCUGGCAGCAGAGUGUAUACGCUGACACCGCCAGUGGAGUAAGACAAAAGCAAUAGAGCUUAGCUAGCAGUACUACGAUUAAAGCUAAUACAAUGGCCAGGCUAACCACCAUUAUCAGUGUCGCACCCAUUUUACUUUCUCUUAGCUCUUUUCCUUUAACUUCUUUGGAGAGGACCGACAGAGUGGGAAAGCUUCCUUUUUUGGCGGCAACAGUAGGUGGCGAAUCUCGUGAGAAUGCGUAAGCAACUCUUCGGUUCUUCAAUGGUUGGGUGCUUUCUGUGUUGUCUUUUCUCUCUGGAAUUCAAGUUCAUAGAGGUCAUUUAGUAACCGCAGCUAUAGCUUGAUACAUAGAGCAAGGUACAACCCACAAAAGUAUCAUGGCCAAUACGCCCAAUUCAGAAUUUUUCCUGCUCAGUUCUCAGUCAUUUGUUCUGAGUGACAACAUCUCAAUCUCAAUCUUAAAGCAUAACUGCAGAUUUGCAUGAGGACAUCCAUUUGACAUCAACUCUGGCAGGCAUGGAAUUCGCAGAAACAAAGUGAUUUUCUCGAGCUGAAGGAUGAAUCACUGGAAUCAAGCCCCCAAAAAGAGCUGUUGAGUAUUAUUAUUCCGGUUGUUUUGCUGGGCGUGCAAACGAGUGCAACUGACAGACCUACCAGAAGUUAUGUCUUCACUUACAACUGAUUUUACAUUUCUAUAAGAACCAAAAUUAAUCUGCAUGUGAUGCUAUUAAAAGUCAUCUAUAUCCAUAAUGGUGCAGUCAUGAAUUAUGCUUUUUUCCUCCCAAAUUUCAAGAUAAUUAUGUGCUUUGAUAUUCACACUGUACAGAAAAAUCAUAUCAUGUGGUAUUUCUUCAAUGUGCCUUUUGAGAGAUGAUGAAGUUGAAUGCUGCUAAGUUUAUCCUUGUUGUGUUUAUCAAUUCCAAAUAUAGAAAUGGCAUUUUAAUUGUAUAACUCUAUAUGAAGCCUCAGAAGUCUGAUCAAAUGCUUAAUGAAAAAACCAGUCUAGCGAUUUGCAUAACUGGAAUCCUAUGAUUCACAUUAUAGAUGCAUGAGAAGCAGUUUUAAAGUCAGAAUGCGAAUAAACACCAUUCCUUGUAUAUCUCAUUGAAUUUCAUCCAUGAACUCUUAACCCUUUCGUUGUAUUAUUGCACUUAAAUUUUCAAACUUGGAAUUUGACAACAUUGAAUUUCAUGUUAUCAAUAAAUUCUAGUCCCGCAAACAAAUGAACAAGAACAUAACAACUAAGAACAAGGUAUUCGAAAGCAACUAGUAUAAUCAUAUAAGAAAGACUUACGGAUUACAACACUCUAAAACAGGAACUUGGACCUAAGUUUCCCUAUAUUAACCUAACAAGGCAAUAAAAUCCCAAGAAGAUGCCUGCACAAUCCCCUCAACUCAAAUAUGGUUAUACCACUCAACUCCAUGUUCUAAAAUGGAUGACUGUGACAUCUUAUCUACUCCAUCUAUUAUAAGGACAUAAGCAAAGUGGUAACCACCAUUGAAUAUUAAAAACAGCAAAAUUGAAGUAGCAGCAAAAAUACUAACUAUUGUUUCUCAGGGUUGUCAGGUUCUUCCUUUUCAGGAUCUUCCUCCUCUUCCUCUUUCUUUUCUUCCUCUUCUUCAUCUUCUUCAGGGGGAUCAUAUGGCAUUGGUGGUGGUAAUGGUGUUUUCAUAGGGCUGAAUUGAGGGAAUAUGUCAGGUCUGCGUCCAGGUUUAGGCCUCUCCCACUCCUGCCAUGUGAACCAAGGUGCUCAUGUUUAAUCACACUGUCUUGAAGAAACAAAAUUCCAAACAAAAAAAAACCAAGAUUGAAUUAUCUAAACAGUACCCAUCAACCAAACAAAACUACCCCAACAGAAUACUACUGCAUAAAAUUAAACCCAUCUCGUAAAAAUC